This 700-nucleotide ribosomal RNA is filed under the name Escherichia coli. RNAcentral describes it as "partial 23S ribosomal RNA". It matches the Rfam family "Bacterial large subunit ribosomal RNA", at positions 1941 to 2640 of the family's 2925-position model. Lineage: Bacteria; Pseudomonadati; Pseudomonadota; Gammaproteobacteria; Enterobacterales; Enterobacteriaceae. The record is from RNAcentral.
UAUAACGGUCCUAAGGUAGCGAAAUUCCUUGUCGGGUAAGUUCCGACCUGCACGAAUGGCGUAAUGAUGGCCAGGCUGUCUCCACCCGAGACUCAGUGAAAUUGAACUCGCUGUGAAGAUGCAGUGUACCCGCGGCAAGACGGAAAGACCCCGUGAACCUUUACUAUAGCUUGACACUGAACAUUGAGCCUUGAUGUGUAGGAUAGGUGGGAGGCUUUGAAGUGUGGACGCCAGUCUGCAUGGAGCCGACCUUGAAAUACCACCCUUUAAUGUUUGAUGUUCUAACGUGGACCCGUAAUCCGGGUUGCGGACAGUGUCUGGUGGGUAGUUUGACUGGGGCGGUCUCCUCCUAAAGAGUAACGGAGGAGCACGAAGGUUGGCUAAUCCUGGUCGGACAUCAGGAGGUUAGUGCAAUGGCAUAAGCCAGCUUGACUGCGAGCGUGACGGCGCGAGCAGGUGCGAAAGCAGGUCAUAGUGAUCCGGUGGUUCUGAAUGGAAGGGCCAUCGCUCAACGGAUAAAAGGUACUCCGGGGAUAACAGGCUGAUACCGCCCAAGAGUUCAUAUCGACGGCGGUGUUUGGCACCUCGAUGUCGGCUCAUCACAUCCUGGGGCUGAAGUAGGUCCCAAGGGUAUGGCUGUUCGCCAUUUAAAGUGGUACGCGAGCUGGGUUUAGAACGUCGUGAGACAGUUCGGUCCCUA